Molecule: ribosomal RNA, 468 nt
Filed under: uncultured bacterium
Lineage: Bacteria
Description: partial 16S ribosomal RNA
Rfam family: Bacterial small subunit ribosomal RNA
Source: RNAcentral
GACGAACGCUGGCGGCGUGCUUAACACAUGCAAGUCGAACGGAAAGGCCCUGCUUUUGUGGGGUGCUCGAGUGGCGAACGUGUGAGUAACACGUGAGUAACCUGCCCUUGACUUUGGGAUAACUUCAGGAAACUGGGGCUAAUACCGGAUAGGAGCUCCUGCUGCAUGGUGGGGGUUGGAAAGUUUCGGCGGUUGGGGAUGGACUCGCGGCUUAUCAGCUUGUUGGUGGGGUAGUGGCUUACCAAGGCUUUGACGGGUAGCCGGCCUGAGAGGGUGACCGGCCACAUUGGGACUGAGAUACGGCCCAGACUCCUACGGGAGGCAGCAGUGGGGAAUAUUGCACAAUGGGCGGAAGCCUGAUGCAGCACCGCCGCGUGCGGGAUGACGGCCUUCGGGUUGUAAACCGCUUUCGCCUGUGACGAAGCGUGAGUGACGGUAAUGGGUAAAGAAGCACCGGCUAACUACGUG